AUUUAUAUAAUAUAAAAAUUAUAUUUGACUUCCAAUCAAACAAUCUAAAAAAAUUAGUAUAAAUA
This 65-nucleotide transfer RNA is filed under the name Apteropeda ovulum. RNAcentral describes it as "tRNA-Gly". Lineage: Eukaryota; Metazoa; Arthropoda; Insecta; Coleoptera; Chrysomelidae. The record is from RNAcentral.